AGUGAACGCUGGCGGUAGGCCUAACACAUGCAAGUCGAACGGCAGCACAGUAAGAGCUUGCUCUUACGGGUGGCGAGUGGCGGACGGGUGAGGAAUACAUCGGAAUCUACUUUUUCGUGGGGGAUAACGUAGGGAAACUUACGCUAAUACCGCAUACGACCUACGGGUGAAGGCAGGGGAUCUUCGGACCUUGCGCGAUUGAAUGAGCCGAUGUCGGAUUAGCUAGUUGGCGGGGUAAAGGCCCACCAAGGCGACGAUCCGUAGCUGGUCUGAGAGGAUGAUCAGCCACACUGGAACUGAGACACGGUCCAGACUCCUACGGGAGGCAGCAGUGGGGAAUAUUGGACAGUGGGCGCAAGCCUGAUCCAGCCAUACCGCGUGGGUGAAGAAGGCCUUCGGGUUGUAAAGCCCUUUUGUUGGGAAAGAAAAGCAGCAGGUUAAUACCCCGCUGUUCUGACGGUACCCAAAGAAUAAGCACCGGCUAACUUCGUG
RNAcentral lists this ribosomal RNA (492 nucleotides) under uncultured bacterium. Its description in RNAcentral is "partial 16S ribosomal RNA". It matches the Rfam family "Bacterial small subunit ribosomal RNA", at positions 29 to 507 of the family's 1533-position model. The record is from RNAcentral.